CCGAUAAGGCCGCUUCUGUUGCCCCUCCGGCCCCUAUAAACACCGCAGCCAUGGCUUUGCUCGGGGUCACGAAGGAGACGCCGGGCAUGCCAGGAAGAGGGGUGCGCGCGCGCGCCGCGACGGGUACGGAACGGAGGAGAAACGGCGAGUGGUUGUUUUGUUUAAGGCGGAGAUUGUUUUGGAGGAGUUUGUUGUUGUUAUUUAUAUAUAUAUAGAGAGAGCUGGUUUAAUGACACUCGUCCGGCAGUGGGACCCACAUCGCUGGCGGAAUUGGUCGGCGAUGGAGAAGAAAAGGCACCCCACCCCCCGCCCGUCCGUCCGCCGCUACCACCCCCUCCUCCCCGCAAGCACUCCCCGGCCGAGGCAACGUGUAGCAGCGGUGAUUCUUAGCGACAAAGAACAAUCGCGAGUGAGUUGUCCAUUAAAGAAUUGUUCAAGGUGCCGCGAUCGAACGAAGCGCGCGGAUUCCUCGUUGGCGCGACAGGCGCCGCGAGGGGACGGUCGGCGGAGAGGUCAAGACGACGUGACGUCAGAGGCAGGUCCGCCCGGAUGUCCGGUGCCAUUGCAAAGAGGCGAGGGAUGGAGGAGGGGGCGUGGGGAGGAGGGGGACGUGGGGGUGGUGAUGGCGUCACGUGACGCGAACAAUGCGUGAACCGGACAGGUCACGUGGUCAACAGAGUCACGAGGUGAUCGAGCGUUGAGACGAGACCUGGGGACGAGGGAGAGACAUGCGGAUACUGAGCAAAGAAGGAACGUGGUGCAAAACAAAACAAAGGUUCUCAUUUGAUGCUGAAUCGACCCAGAGAGAGCCCAAGGGCGGCUCAGAUAUUCGUCCACUGUGUGAGUUGGUCGUGAGCGGGAAUUGAACUCGUCACGCCGGGUUUUGCCGAGCAAUGCGCUAACCGCUGCGCCACCGCUCCCCACUCAGCUCAACACUAUACGUGAGUGACCCGACCAUACCUCACCACGCUGGUAAGUGCGGAGUUAGCUGUUAAACGUUUAGUUAUUUUGGCCAUGGGAGAAACCGCUUCCCUGUGAGUUGGCAUGCGGCCGAUUAUGAGUUAUUAUUUAAUUAUUUGGUCGCCUGUUCCAAAAUAAAGUGCUGCACUAUACACAGUGCAUGUAAGUCAGCAAAUGUUGCUGCACCCCAGUGACAACAUUGCAGCGUCUUCGAUCUGUAUCAUAUAUUCCCAUAUA
Long non-coding RNA from Lethenteron reissneri (Far Eastern brook lamprey), 1197 nucleotides. RefSeq lists it as uncharacterized. Lineage: Eukaryota; Metazoa; Chordata; Hyperoartia; Petromyzontiformes; Petromyzontidae. The record is from RefSeq and is a predicted model, not a curated record.